Molecule: non-coding RNA, 111 nt
Filed under: Enterobacter kobei
Lineage: Bacteria; Pseudomonadati; Pseudomonadota; Gammaproteobacteria; Enterobacterales; Enterobacteriaceae
Description: Magnesium Sensor
Rfam family: Magnesium riboswitch aptamer (Magnesium responsive RNA element)
About the family: The Magnesium sensor RNA element is a cis-regulatory element that regulates the expression of the magnesium transporter protein MgtA. It is located in the 5' UTR of this gene.
Source: RNAcentral
UUACCGGAGGCAACAUGGAUCCUGAUCCCACCCCUCUCCCCGACGGGAGUUUUCCCGCGUCCCGGUAAGUCAGUUCUCGCUGCCUUGCCAGACGCGUAAGGCAGCGACGUU